ACAUGCAAGUCGAGCGGUAGAGAGGAGCUUGCUUCUCUUGAGAGCGGCGGACGGGUGAGUAAUGCCUAGGAAUCUGCCUGGUAGUGGGGGAUAACGUUCGGAAACGGACGCUAAUACCGCAUACGUCCUACGGGAGAAAGUGGGGGAUCUUCGGACCUCACGCUAUCAGAUGAGCCUAGGUCGGAUUAGCUAGUUGGUGGGGUAAAGGCUCACCAAGGCGACGAUCCGUAACUGUCUGAGAGGAUGAUCAGUCACACUGGAACUGAGACACGGUCCAGACUCCUACGGGAGGCAGCAGUGGGGAAUAUUGGACAAUGGGCGAAAGCCUGAUCCAGCCAUGCCGCGUGUGUGAAGAAGGUCUUCGGAUUGUAAAGCACUUUAAGUUGGGAGGAAGGGCAGUAAGUUAAUACCUUGCUGUUUUGACGUUACCGACAGAAUAAGCACCGGCUAACUCUGUGCCAGCAGCCGCGGUAAUACAGAGGGUGCAACGUUAAUCGGAAUUACUGGGCGUAAAGCGCGCGUAGGUGGUUUGGUAAGUUGGAUGUGAAAGCCCCGGGCUCAACCUGGGAACUGCAUCCAAAACUGCCAAGCUAGAGUACGGUAGAGGGUGGUGGAAUUUCCUGUGUAGCGGUGAAAUGCGUAGAUAUAGGAAGGAACACCAGUGGCGAAGGCGACCACCUGGACUGAUACUGACACUGAGGUGCGAAAC
This 709-nucleotide ribosomal RNA is filed under the name Pseudomonas migulae. RNAcentral describes it as "bacterial SSU rRNA". It matches the Rfam family "Bacterial small subunit ribosomal RNA", at positions 53 to 759 of the family's 1533-position model. The record is from RNAcentral. Lineage: Bacteria; Pseudomonadati; Pseudomonadota; Gammaproteobacteria; Pseudomonadales; Pseudomonadaceae.